RNAcentral lists this microRNA precursor (76 nucleotides) under Plutella xylostella (diamondback moth). Its description in RNAcentral is "microRNA pxy-mir-8493 precursor". Lineage: Eukaryota; Metazoa; Arthropoda; Insecta; Lepidoptera; Plutellidae. The record is from miRBase by way of RNAcentral.
AAUAGUUCUUUAGUGAUGCUCCUGAAAUUCAUAGAAUUUCAACUACGAAAUUCAGCAGCAUCACUCUAGAUCUCAU